Molecule: long non-coding RNA, 222 nt
Filed under: Nicotiana benthamiana
Lineage: Eukaryota; Viridiplantae; Streptophyta; Magnoliopsida; Solanales; Solanaceae
Description: long non-coding RNA (NBEN_LNC031776)
Source: RNAcentral
AAGAAUUCAAUCGGGAAGCCAUCCACCCCGGGGUUUUGUCAUGAGGCAUAGUCUAACUGCCUGUAGGAUCUCCUCUCUGGUUACUGAUUGAUUCUAUUGCCUUUCAAUGACAACACUGUGAAAUGGUCAGCCCAAACCAUUGCAUUUGCCAUCAGAAAAUAGGUAGAAUCAUAAUUAAAUGAUAUAAUCGAUAAGUAUGACAAAGUUUGAAGUAUAAAGGUC